GCAUAGCUCAGUUGGUUAGAGCGUGGUGCUGAUAACACCAAGGCUGCAGAUUCAAUCUCCAUAUGCGACA
Podarcis lilfordi (Lilford's wall lizard) is the source of this 70-nucleotide non-coding RNA. The record is from the annotation of a GenBank genome assembly. NCBI's taxonomy places the organism in Eukaryota, Metazoa, Chordata, Lepidosauria, Squamata, Lacertidae.